CUCUUUAAACCGGACAUGCAUCAUACUCGAUUGUGCAUCAUGCCAUGUUGAUGUGUUGGUUGUUUACUAUGUUGUGUGCUUCUUUUCCGGUGAUUGCUUCCUCGGGUUGAUUCCGGUAACGUCGUGUUGUGAGGAUUCGUUCGUCUUCGUCCGUUUGUCUUCUUCAUGGACUCGUUCUUCUUCCUUGCGGGAUUUCAGGCAAGAUGAUCAUACCCUCGAAAUCACUACUAUCUUUGCUAUGCUAGUUUGCUCGCUCUUUUGCUCUGCCAUUGCUACGAUGCCUACCACUUGCUUGUCAGCCUCCCAAAUUGCCAUGUUCAGCCCCUAACCCACCAUUGUCCUAGCAAACCGUUGAUUGGCUAUGUUACCGCUUUGCUCAGCCCCUCUUAUAGCGUUGUUAGUUGCAGGUGAAGAUUGAAGUUUGUUCCUUGUUGGAACAUGGAGGCCGUUCCUUGUUGGAACAUUUAUUUACUUGUUGGGAUAUCACUAUAUAUCUUAUUUAAUUAAUGCAUCUAUAUACUUGGUAAAGGGUGGAAGGCUCGGCCUUAUGUCUGGUGUUUUGUUCCACUCUUGCCGUCCUAGUUUCCGUUAUAUCGGUGUUAUGUUCCCGGAUUUUUGCGUCCCUUACGCGGUUGGGUAUAUGGGAACCCCUUGACAGUUCGCUUUGAAUAAAACUCCUCCAGCAAGGCCCAACCUUGGUUUUACCAUUUGCCACCUAGCCUUUUUCCCUUGGGUUAGGCCAGCCCAAGGGUCAUCUUAUUUUAACCCCCGGGCCAGUGCUUGUCUAAGUGUUGGCCCAACCCAGAGCACCGUGCAGGGCCAUCCCUUGGCAACUUGGGUUACGUCUGCUCCUGUACGCUUAGCCUAUCCGGUGUGCCCUGAGAACGAGAUAUGUGCAGCUCCUAUCGGGAUGUCGGCGCAUCGGGUGGUUUUGCUGGACUUGUUUUACCAUUGUCGAGGAUGUCUUGGAGUACCGGGAUAUCGAGUCUGAUCGGAAUGUCUCGGGAGGAGGUCUAUUCCUUCGUUGACCGUGAGAGCUUGUGAUGGGCUAAGUUGGGACACCCCUGCAGGGUUUUGAACUUUCGAAAGUCGUGCCCGCGGUUAUGGGCAGAUGAGAAUUUGUUAACGUCCGGUUGUAGAAAACCUGAAGUUGACCUUAAUUAAAAUGAAACAACAGCGUGUGUAACCGUGAUGGUCUCUUUCCGACGGAGUCCGGGAAGUGAACACGGUUGUUGGAGUUAUGCUUGACGUAGGUAGUCCAGGAUCACUUCUUGAUCAUACUUUUAUCGACCGUGCUUUGCCCUCUCUUCUCGCUCUCAUUUGCGUAUGUUAGCCACCAUAUAUGCUAGUCGCUUGCUGCAGCUCCACCUCAUACAUUUACCUUACCCAUAAGCUUAAAUAGUCAUGAUCGUGAGGGUGCGAGAUUGCUGAGUCCCCGUGGCUCACAGAUACUCCCAAAACCAGCUUGCAGGUGCCGAU
RNAcentral lists this long non-coding RNA (1479 nucleotides) under Triticum aestivum (bread wheat). RNAcentral's name for it is "long non-coding RNA (TAES_LNC023410)". Lineage: Eukaryota; Viridiplantae; Streptophyta; Magnoliopsida; Poales; Poaceae. The record is from RNAcentral.